UACGUAGGGGGCAAGCGUUGUCCGGAAUCAUUGGGCGUAAAGAGCGUGUAGGCGGCCCGAUAAGUCCGCUGUGAAAGUCCAGGGCUCAACCCUGGAAUGCCGGUGGAUACUGUCGGGCUCGAAUCCGGAAGAGGUGAGUGGAAUUCCUGGUGUAGCGGUGAAAUGCGCAGAUAUCAGGAGGAACACCAAUGGCGAAGGCAGCCCACUGGGACGGUAUUGACGCUGAGACGCGAAAGCGUGGGGAGCAAACAGG
Molecule: ribosomal RNA, 253 nt
Filed under: uncultured bacterium
Lineage: Bacteria
Description: partial 16S ribosomal RNA
Rfam family: Bacterial small subunit ribosomal RNA
Source: RNAcentral